This 233-nucleotide ribosomal RNA is filed under the name uncultured bacterium. RNAcentral's name for it is "partial 16S ribosomal RNA". It matches the Rfam family "Bacterial small subunit ribosomal RNA", at positions 118 to 351 of the family's 1533-position model. The record is from RNAcentral.
UGAGUAACCUGCCCUUAACUCUGGGAUAAGCCUGGGAAACUGGGUCUAAUACCGGAUAUGACUCCUCAUCGCAUGGUGGGGGGUGGAAAGCUUUUUGUGGUUUUGGAUGGACUCGCGGCCUAUCAGCUUGUUGGUGAGGUAAUGGCUCACCAAGGCGACGACGGGUAGCCGGCCUGAGAGGGUGUCCGGCCACACUGGGACUGAGAUACGGCCCAGACUCCUACGGGAGGCAG